GACGGAGGGGGCAAGCGUUGUUCGGAUUUACUGGGCGUAAAGGGCGCGUAGGCGGUAGCACAAGUCAGUUGUGAAAUCUCCGGGCUUAACUCGGAAAGGUCAACUGAUACUGUGCGACUAGAGUGCAGAAGGGGCAACUGGAAUUCUCGGUGUAGCGGUGAAAUGCGUAGAUAUCGAGAGGAACACCUGCGGCGAAGGCGGGUUGCUGGGCUGACACUGACGCUGAGGCGCGAAAGCCAGGGGAGCGAACGGG
Molecule: ribosomal RNA, 253 nt
Filed under: uncultured bacterium
Lineage: Bacteria
Description: partial 16S ribosomal RNA
Rfam family: Bacterial small subunit ribosomal RNA
Source: RNAcentral